GAUGAAGAACGCAGCGAAAUGCGAUAAGUAAUGCGAAUUGCAGAAUUCAGUGAAUCAUCGAAUCUUUGAACGCACAUUGCGCCCGCUAGUAUUCUGGCGGGCAUGCCUGUCUGAGCGUCAUUUCAACCCUCGCCCCCGGCUUUUGCUGGGAGCGGUGUUGGGGAUCGGCCGCCCGUCACUGGGAGGCCGGCCCCGAAAUAGAGUGGCGACCACGCCGUGUGCUCCUCUGCGUAGUAGUAAAUCACCUCGCAGGCGGACAGCGGUGCGGCCUGCCGUAAAACCCCCAACCCUUUCUGGUUGACCUCAGAUCAGGUAGGAAUACCCGCUGAACUUAAGCAUAUCAAUAAGCGGAGGA
Molecule: unclassified non-coding RNA, 355 nt
Filed under: soil metagenome
Description: partial contains 5.8S ribosomal RNA, internal transcribed spacer 2, and large subunit ribosomal RNA
Rfam family: 5.8S ribosomal RNA (bases 1-120)
Source: RNAcentral